RNAcentral lists this unclassified non-coding RNA (235 nucleotides) under Hevea brasiliensis (rubber tree). The record is from RNAcentral. Lineage: Eukaryota; Viridiplantae; Streptophyta; Magnoliopsida; Malpighiales; Euphorbiaceae.
GAUCGAUUGGUUUUUAUUUUUAAGCCUUUUUGGUUUACUCAAUUUUAUAGAGAGUUUCUUUUCGAUAAGGGAUUUUAGUCAGUAGGCGAUAGCCGUUUAGAUCUCUCUAAAACUAUAUGAAUUUCUUGUAUUCUCUCUCAUUAAGACUAGUGUGAUGGGUGGUGGAAGGCAGCGAUUCUUCUCUCCUUUCUCUUCCCUACCCGUUUCCUUCUCAACGGGUCAGAGUUGUUCAAAA